RNAcentral lists this small nuclear RNA (108 nucleotides) under Aotus nancymaae (Ma's night monkey). Lineage: Eukaryota; Metazoa; Chordata; Mammalia; Primates; Aotidae. The record is from RNAcentral.
GUGCUUGCAUCAGCAGCACAUAUACUAAAAUUGGAAUGAUACAGAGAAGAUUACCAUGGCCCCUGUGCAAGGAUAAUGUGCAAAUUCAUUUAUGAAAACACCAAAAAC